AGAGUUUGAUCAUGGCUCAGAAUCAACGCUGGCGGCGUGCCUCAGACAUGCAAGUCGAACGCGAAAGCUCCCUUCGGGGAGCAAGUAGAGUGGCGCACGGGUGAGUAACACGUAGGUAAUCUACCUUCGGAUGGGGAAUAACAACCGGAAACGGUUGCUAAUACCGCAUAAUGCAGCGGCACCUAAUGGUGACAGUUGUUAAAGCGGGGGAUCGAAAGACCUCGCGUCUGAAGAGGAGCCUGCGGCAGAUUAGCUAGUUGGUAAGGUAACGGCUUACCAAGGCGAUGAUCUGUAGCCGGCCUGAGAGGGCGGUCGGCCACACUGACACUGACAUACGGGUCAGACUCCUACGGGAGGCAGCAGUCGGGAAUUUUGGGCAAUGGGCGAAAGCCUGACCCAGCAACGCCGCGUGAAGGAUGAAAUCCCUCGGGAUGUAAACUUCGCAAGAACGGGAAGAAUAAGUGGGAGUUAAUAUCUCUCGCGAUGACGGUACCGUUUGUAAGCUCCGGCUAACUCCGUGCCAGCAGCCGCGGUAAUACGGGGGGAGCAAGCGUUGUUCGGAUUUACUGGGCGUAAAGGGCGCGUAGGCGGCCACCGCAAGUCGACUGUGAAAUCUCCGGGCUCAACCCGGAAAGGUCAGCCGAUACUGCGGGGCUAGAGUGCAGAAGGGGCAACUGGAAUUCUCGGUGUAGCGGUGAAAUGCGUAGAUAUCGAGAGGAACACCUGCGGCGAAGGCGGGUUGCUGGGCUGACACUGACGCUGAGGCGCGAAAGCUAGGGGAGCGAACGGGAUUAGAUACCCCCGUAGUCC
RNAcentral lists this ribosomal RNA (810 nucleotides) under uncultured Acidobacteriota bacterium. RNAcentral's name for it is "bacterial SSU rRNA". It matches the Rfam family "Bacterial small subunit ribosomal RNA", at positions 8 to 796 of the family's 1533-position model. Lineage: Bacteria; Pseudomonadati; Acidobacteriota. The record is from RNAcentral.